Molecule: non-coding RNA, 48 nt
Organism: Schistosoma curassoni
Lineage: Eukaryota; Metazoa; Platyhelminthes; Trematoda; Strigeidida; Schistosomatidae
Source: Rfam
GUCCAACUGAUGAGUCGCGAAUGAGACGAAACGCGCGUCAAACUGGAU